GAUGAACGCUGGCGGCGUGCUUAACACAUGCAAGUCGAGCGAGAAGUUUUGAAAAGAUUCUUCGGAUGAAAUUUAAAAUGGAAAGCGGCGGACGGGUGAGUAACGCGUAGGCAACCUGCCCCAUACAAAGGGAUAGCAUUUGGAAACGAAUAUUAAUACCUUAUGAAACUUAACUAGUGCAUGCUAGGUAGGUCAAAGAUUUAUCGGUAUGGGAUGGGCCUGCGUCUGAUUAGCUAGUUGGUGAGGUAACGGCUCACCAAGGCGACGAUCAGUAGCCGAGCUGAAGAGGUGAACUGCAAAAUUGGAACAGAGACACGGUCCGAACACCUUCGGGAGGCAGCGGUGGAGUAAAUUGACCAAUGGGAGAAACCCUAAUGGAGCAACGGCGCGUGAACGAUGAAGGCCUUUGGGAAGUAAAGUUCUAUUCUAGGAAAUAAAAACUGACGGUAACCUAGGAGAAAGCCCCGGCUAACUCCGUG
RNAcentral lists this ribosomal RNA (479 nucleotides) under uncultured bacterium. Its description in RNAcentral is "partial 16S ribosomal RNA". It matches the Rfam family "Bacterial small subunit ribosomal RNA", at positions 28 to 507 of the family's 1533-position model. The record is from RNAcentral.